AGAGUUUGAUCAUGGCUCAGAUUGAACGCUGGCGGCAGGCUUAACACAUGCAAGUCGAGCGGGGAAGGGUAGCUUGCUACCUGACCUAGCGGCGGACGGGUGAGUAAUGCUUAGGAAUCUGCCUAUUAGUGGGGGACAACAUUCCGAAAGGAAUGCUAAUACCGCAUACGCCCUACGGGGGAAAGCAGGGGAUCUUCGGACCUUGCGCUAAUAGAUGAGCCUAAGUCAGAUUAGCUAGUUGGUGGGGUAAAGGCCUACCAAGGCGACGAUCUGUAGCGGGUCUGAGAGGAUGAUCCGCCACACUGGGACUGAGACACGGCCCAGACUCCUACGGGAGGCAGCAGUGGGGAAUAUUGGACAAUGGGCGCAAGCCUGAUCCAGCCAUGCCGCGUGUGUGAAGAAGGCCUUUUGGUUGUAAAGCACUUUAAGCGAGGAGGAGGCUACCGAGAUUAAUACUCUUGGAUAGUGGACGUUACUCGCAGAAUAAGCACCGGCUAACUCUGUGCCAGCAGCCGCGGUAAUACAGAGGGUGCGAGCGUUAAUCGGAUUUACUGGGCGUAAAGCGUGCGUAGGCGGCUUUUUAAGUCGGAUGUGAAAUCCCUGAGCUUAACUUAGGAAUUGCAUUCGAUACUGGGAAGCUAGAGUAUGGGAGAGGAUGGUAGAAUUCCAGGUGUAGCGGUGAAAUGCGUAGAGAUCUGGAGGAAUACCGAUGGCGAAGGCAGCCAUCUGGCCUAAUACUGACGCUGAGGUACGAAAGCAUGGGGAGCAAACAGGAUUAGAUACCCUGGUAGUCC
This 794-nucleotide ribosomal RNA is filed under the name uncultured bacterium. RNAcentral's name for it is "bacterial SSU rRNA". It matches the Rfam family "Bacterial small subunit ribosomal RNA", at positions 8 to 796 of the family's 1533-position model. The record is from RNAcentral.